CUCUCUCUCCCUCCAUUAGUUCUUGUGUAUCUGAUCCAAUUAAGAGUAUUAUGUGUCGUGUUGACCUGAUGAGUUCUUCAUUCUUAUCAUCUUUCAAAUCAGAUUUAUUUGAAUCUCCUGAUAACUUUGCUCUUGUUCGUCUCCAGCUCACUAAGUCAUUAUAUUACAAGUUAUUAACGUUAAUUAUCACUGAUGAGGAGAAGAAGCAAAAACUAUCAACCAACAAGCAGCUGUCAAUACAGCUGGUGAUUUUUGAAUGGUAAAAUUUUAGCGAGGUUAAAAGGCUUCAGUUGGCAGGUUUUGAAUGUACAUGUACAGUGUACAUAUACAUGUUGUACAUGUACAUAUAUGUACAACUAUGAAGUAACUAUACUUCAUAGUUGGAGUACCAGUAUCCAUUUUACUUUGCUACUCUACAGUGUAGCACAUCAGAGGAUACUGUAGUCCUUCACAGUCAUGUGUACUGUACUAAAAAGUUUUGUAUAUACAUGUACUUAUACAAAACAAUGUAAAUACUGUUUUGUCUUAAAUACUGUGAGUAUUUGUUAGUUUUGUGUAUGUGUACUGUACUAUUGACACUGACACACUCCACAACCUGUCAAAGAAGUUGAAGAUGCUUCUCUUGUCUUUAUGUGUUGUCCCAGUUCAUUUGUACUGUCACUCUCUCUUUUUAGAAGCUCAUUUAGGACAUUCUUCACUCCAUUCUACUGUCUAUCUACUGUCUACUGCAGAUCAACCUUUUUUAAAAUUUCUCACCUCUUUGCUUAAGGAAAGUAUCACUAUAGCGAAGAAAAAAAAUGAUAUUAACUAUUUCAACAUUUUCUUCCUUGAGUAUUUUUCAGAAUUUUGGCGUUUUCUUAAAAUGGCCUUAACUGAAAAAAUUGAAGUCGGAAUCAGCUCAA
Long non-coding RNA from Amphimedon queenslandica, 902 nucleotides. RefSeq lists it as uncharacterized. NCBI's taxonomy places the organism in Eukaryota, Metazoa, Porifera, Demospongiae, Haplosclerida, Niphatidae. The record is from RefSeq and is a predicted model, not a curated record. The transcript has 3 exons.